This 62-nucleotide transfer RNA is filed under the name Brachionus calyciflorus. RNAcentral's name for it is "tRNA-Tyr". Lineage: Eukaryota; Metazoa; Rotifera; Eurotatoria; Ploima; Brachionidae. The record is from RNAcentral.
AUAUUUUAGUAUAAAUUUAUUACUUUAGACUGUAAAUCUAAUAAUGGUAUGACCAAUAAUCA